AGUUUGAUCCUGGCUCAGAUUGAACGCUGGCGGCAGGCCUAACACAUGCAAGUCGAACGGUAACAGGAAACAGCUUGCUGUUUCGCUGACGAGUGGCGGACGGGUGAGUAAUGUCUGGGAAACUGCCUGAUGGAGGGGGAUAACUACUGGAAACGGUAGCUAAUACCGCAUAACGUCGCAAGACCAAAGAGGGGGACCUUCGGGCCUCUUGCCAUCGGAUGUGCCCAGAUGGGAUUAGCUUGUUGGUGGGGUAACGGCUCACCAAGGCGACGAUCCCUAGCUGGUCUGAGAGGAUGACCAGCCACACUGGAACUGAGACACGGUCCAGACUUCCUAGGGGAACCCACCAGGUGGGAAUUAUUGCCACAAGGGGCCCCAACCCUUGAUGCACCCAUCCCCGCGUGUAAGAAGAAGCCCUUUCGGGUUUAUAAAGUUCUUUUCAGCGGGGAGAGAAGGGGAGUAAAGUUAAACCCUUUGCCUCAUUGACGUUACCCGCAGAAAGAGCACCGGGUUAACUCCGUGCCAGCAGCCGCGGUAAUACGGAGGGUGCAAGCGUUAAUCGGAAUUACUGGGCGUAAAGCGCACGCAGGCGGUUUGUUAAGUCAGAUGUGAAAUCCCCGGGCUCAACCUGGGAACUGCAUCUGAUACUGGCAAGCUUGAGUCUCGUAGAGGGGGGUAGAAUUCCAGGUGUAGCGGUGAAAUGCGUAGAGAUCUGGAGGAAUACCGGUGGCGAAGGCGGCCCCCUGGACGAAGACUGACGCUCAGGUGCGAAAGCGUGGGGAGCAAACAGGAUUAGAUACCCUGGUAGUCCACGCCGUAAACGAUGUCGACUUGGAGGUUGUGCCCUUGAGGCGUGGCUUCCGGAGCUAACGCGUUAAGUCGACCGCCUGGGGAGUACGGCCGCAAGGUUAAAACUCAAAUGAAUUGACGGGGGCCCGCACAAGCGGUGGAGCAUGUGGUUUAAUUCGAUGCAACGCGAAGAACCUUACCUGGUCUUGACAUCCACGGAAGUUUUCAGAGAUGAGAAUGUGCCUUCGGGAACCGUGAGACAGGUGCUGCAUGGCUGUCGUCAGCUCGUGUUGUGAAAUGUUGGGUUAAGUCCCGCAACGAGCGCAACCCUUAUCCUUUGUUGCCAGCGGUCCGGCCGGGAACUCAAAGGAGACUGCCAGUGAUAAACUGGAGGAAGGUGGGGAUGACGUCAAGUCAUCAUGGCCCUUACGACCAGGGCUACACACGUGCUACAAUGGCGCAUACAAAGAGAAGCGACCUCGCGAGAGCAAGCGGACCUCAUAAAGUGCGUCGUAGUCCGGAUUGGAGUCUGCAACUCGACUCCAUGAAGUCGGAAUCGCUAGUAAUCGUGGAUCAGAAUGCCACGGUGAAUACGUUCCCGGGCCUUGCACACACCGCCCGUC
Molecule: ribosomal RNA, 1412 nt
Filed under: uncultured bacterium
Lineage: Bacteria
Description: bacterial SSU rRNA
Rfam family: Bacterial small subunit ribosomal RNA
Source: RNAcentral